AAAGAUUAAGCCAUGCAUGUCUAAGUAUAAGCAAUUAUACCGUGAAACUGCGAAUGGCUCAUUAAAUCAGUAUCGUUUAUUGAUAGUAACCUUACUACUUGGAUAACCGUGGUAAUUCUAGAGCUAAUACAUGCUAAAAACCCCGACUUCGGGAGGGGUGUAUUUAUUAGAUAAAAAACCAAUGCCCUUUCGGGGCUCUUUGGUGAUUCAUGAUAACUUAACGGAUCGCAUGGCCUUGCGCCGGCGACGGUUCAUUCAAAUUUCUGCCCUAUCAACUUUCGAUGGUAAGGUAUUGGCUUACCAUGGUUUCAACGGGUAACGGGGAAUUAGGGUUCGAUUCCGGAGAGGGAGCCUGAGAAACGGCUACCACAUCCAAGGAAGGCAGCAGGCGCGCAAAUUACCCAAUCCCGACACGGGGAGGUAGUGACAAUAAAUACUGAUACAGGGCUCUUUUGGGUCUUGUAAUCGGAAUGAGUACAAUUUAAACCCCUUAACGAGGAACAAUUGGAGGGCAAGUCUGGUGCCAGCAGCCGCGGUAAUUCCAGCUCCAAUAGCGUAUAUUAAAGUUGUUGCAGUUAAAAAGCUCGUAGUUGAACCUUGGGCCUGGCUGGCCGGUCCGCCUCACCGCGUGUACUGGUCCGGCCGGGCCUUUCCUUCUGGAGAGCCGCAUGCCCUUCACUGGGUGUGCCGGGGAACCAGGACUUUUACUUUGAAAAAAUUAGAGUGUUCAAAGCAGGCCUUUGCUCGAAUACGUUAGCAUGGAAUAAUAGAAUAGGACGUGCGAUCCUAUUUUGUUGGUUUCUAGGACCGCCGUAAUGAUUAAUAGGGAUAGUCGGGGGCAUCAGUAUUCAAUUGUCAGAGGUGAAAUUCUUGGAUUUAUUGAAGACUAACUACUGCGAAAGCAUUUGCCAAGGAUGUUUUCAUUAAUCAGUGAACGAAAGUUAGGGGAUCGAAGACGAUCAGAUACCGUCGUAGUCUUAACCGUAAACUAUGCCGACUAGGGAUCGGGCGAUGUUUUCAUCUUGACUCGCUC
This 1033-nucleotide ribosomal RNA is filed under the name Paradictyoarthrinium tectonicola. RNAcentral describes it as "SSU rRNA". It matches the Rfam family "Eukaryotic small subunit ribosomal RNA", at positions 39 to 1081 of the family's 1831-position model. Lineage: Eukaryota; Fungi; Ascomycota; Dothideomycetes; Pleosporales; Paradictyoarthriniaceae. The record is from RNAcentral.